UCAUCCCUGGAGACUGAAAUGUUCUGUUUAUUUAAGGGUUAUAACCACAGGCAGUGAAAGUGCAUGAUUCCCCACACAACCCUGCCAGUGUGCCUCAUUCCUAAACUGGAGGAACCACCACUAAGGCUUGGGGUGGGGAGCAGUCUUUCUUUAAAUAAUCUGUUCCUUCC
RNAcentral lists this small RNA (170 nucleotides) under Crocodylus porosus (Australian saltwater crocodile). RNAcentral's name for it is "TUC338 (ENSCPRG00005002199.1)". The record is from RNAcentral. Lineage: Eukaryota; Metazoa; Chordata; Crocodylia; Crocodylidae.